Molecule: ribosomal RNA, 870 nt
Filed under: uncultured marine bacterium
Lineage: Bacteria
Description: bacterial SSU rRNA
Rfam family: Bacterial small subunit ribosomal RNA
Source: RNAcentral
AUUGAACGCUGGCGGCAGGCCUAAGACAUGCAAGUCGAGCGAGAAAGCCCUUCGGGGUGAGUACAGCGGCGGACGGGUGAGUAACGCGUAGGAAUCUACCCAGUAGUGGGGGACAACUAGUGGAAACGCUAGCUAAUACCGCAUACGCCCUAAGGGGGAAAGCGGGGGAUCUUCGGACCUUGCACUAUUGGAUGAGCCUGCGUGAGAUUAGCUUGUUGGUGAGGUAAUGGCUCACCAAGGCAACGAUCUCUAGCUGGUCUGAGAGGAUGAUCAGCCACACCGGGACUGAGACACGGCCCGGACUCCUACGGGAGGCAGCAGUCGGGAAUAUUGCGCAAUGGGCGAAAGCCUGACGCAGCCAUGCCGCGUGUGUGAAGAAGGCCCUAGGGUUGUAAAGCACUUUCAAUUGGGAGGAAAAGCUAAUGGUUAAUAACCAUUAGCCCUGACGUUACCUUUAGAAGAAGCACCGGCUAACUCCGUGCCAGCAGCCGCGGUAAUACGGAGGGUGCAAGCGUUAAUCGGAAUUACUGGGCGUAAAGCGCGCGUAGGCGGUUUUUUAAGUCGGAUGUGAAAGCCCCGGGCUCAACCUGGGAACUGCAUCCGAUACUGGAUAACUAGAAUGCGGGAGAGGGAGGUAGAAUUCCAUGUGUAGCAGUGAAAUGCGCAGAUAUAUGGAGGAAUACCAGUGGCGAAGGCGGCCUCCUGGCUCGACAUUGACGCUGAGGUGCGAAAGCGUGGGGAGCAAACGGGAUUAGAUACCCCGGUAGUCCACGCCGUAAACGAUGUCUACUAGCUGUAGGGGUACUUGAGACCUUUGUAGCGCAGCUAACGCAAUAAGUAGACCGCCUGGGGAGUACGGCCGCAAGGUUA